Molecule: ribosomal RNA, 254 nt
Filed under: uncultured bacterium
Lineage: Bacteria
Description: partial 16S ribosomal RNA
Rfam family: Bacterial small subunit ribosomal RNA
Source: RNAcentral
UACGGAGGGGGGCUAGCGUUGUUCGGAAUUACUGGGCGUAAAGCGCACGUAGGCGGCUUUGUAAGUUAGAGGUGAAAGCCCAGGGCUUAACCCUGGAAUUGCCUUUAAGACUGCAUCGCUAGAAUCGUGGAGAGGUGAGUGGAAUUCCGAGUGUAGAGGUGAAAUUCGUAGAUAUUCGGAAGAACACCAGUGGCGAAGGCGACUCACUGGACACGUAUUGACGCUGAGGUGCGAAAACGUGGGGAGCAAACAGG